ACUAUAUAUUAGACAUAUUCCUC
Molecule: microRNA, 23 nt
Filed under: Scyliorhinus torazame (cloudy catshark)
Lineage: Eukaryota; Metazoa; Chordata; Chondrichthyes; Carcharhiniformes; Scyliorhinidae
Description: Sto-Mir-190-P3_3p* (star (passenger))
Source: RNAcentral